RNAcentral lists this unclassified non-coding RNA (264 nucleotides) under fungal sp. RNAcentral describes it as "partial internal transcribed spacer region". The stretch from base 1 to 46 matches the Rfam family "Eukaryotic small subunit ribosomal RNA", at positions 1786 to 1831 of the family's 1831-position model. Lineage: Eukaryota; Fungi. The record is from RNAcentral.
AAGUCGUAACAAGGUUUCCGUAGGUGAACCUGCGGAAGGAUCAUUAAAGAGUUAGGGUCUCCAAGGCCCGACCUCCCAACCCUUUGUUUACUAAACCAAUGUUGCUUCGGCGGACCCGUCUUAAUUGACCGCCGGAGGACCGUCAAACGUCCUCUGGCCCGUGUUCGUCGAUAGCCCAUCUCAAACUCUUUUGAAUUAUGUAAUUUGACCUGAGUAAAGCACAAAAUUAAAGCAAAACUUUCAACAACGGAUCUCUUGGUUCUG